UCGGCGUGGCGAGCGGUCGCUUGUGAUAAACAAGAGGAAAGUCCGAGCUGCAAUAAGACAGAGUUGCGUCUAACGGACGCCGUGGGAAACCAUAGGGAAAGUGCAACAGAAAGCAAACCGCCAUAGCGUUCGCGCCGUGGCAAGGGUGAAAGGGUGGGGCAAGAGCCCACCGCGCGCAUGGAGACAUGGGCGGCAGUGCAAACCCAACUCGCAGCAAGAAUAGAAGGUAAGGUCUUAUGAGAUACUAUUCGCUAGAACUGGUUUGCAAAAAUCGGUGUAGAUAAAUGACCGCACAGACAGAACUCGGCUUAUAGCCACGCCUUUUAU
Molecule: RNase P RNA, 327 nt
Filed under: Campylobacter sp.
Lineage: Bacteria; Pseudomonadati; Campylobacterota; Epsilonproteobacteria; Campylobacterales; Campylobacteraceae
Description: RNase P RNA component class A
Rfam family: Bacterial RNase P class A
About the family: Ribonuclease P (RNase P) is a ubiquitous endoribonuclease, found in archaea, bacteria and eukarya as well as chloroplasts and mitochondria.
Source: RNAcentral